Molecule: ribosomal RNA, 253 nt
Filed under: uncultured bacterium
Lineage: Bacteria
Description: partial 16S ribosomal RNA
Rfam family: Bacterial small subunit ribosomal RNA
Source: RNAcentral
UACGGAGGGUGCAAGCGUUGUUCGGAAUCACUGGGCGUAAAGGGCGUGUAGGCGGUCCGCUAAGUCUGAUGUGAAAGCCCGGGGCUCACCCCCGGAAGUGCAUUGGAAACUGGCGGACUCGAGUCCCGGAGAGGAGGGUGGAAUUCCUGGUGUAGCGGUGAAAUGCGUAGAUAUCAGGAGGAACACCGGUGGCGAAGGCGGCCCUCUGGACGGUGACUGACGCUGAGACGCGAAAGCGUGGGGAGCAAACAGG